CAGCAGCCGCGGUAAUACGUAGGUGGCGAGCGUUGUCCGGAAUCAUUGGGCGUAAAGGGAGCGCAGGCGGGCAUGUAAGUCUUUCUUAAAAGUGCGGGGCUCAACCCCGUGAUGGGAAAGAAACUACAUGUCUUGAGUACAGGAGAGGAAAGCGGAAUUCCCAGUGUAGCGGUGAAAUGCGUAGAUAUUGGGAGGAACACCAGUGGCGAAGGCGGCUUUCUGGACUGCAACUGACGCUGAGGCUCGAAAGCCGGGGGAGCGAACGGGAUUAGAUACCCCCGUAGUCCCUGUCUCUUAUACA
RNAcentral lists this ribosomal RNA (301 nucleotides) under uncultured bacterium. RNAcentral's name for it is "partial 16S ribosomal RNA". It matches the Rfam family "Bacterial small subunit ribosomal RNA", at positions 509 to 808 of the family's 1533-position model. The record is from RNAcentral.